Molecule: long non-coding RNA, 618 nt
Organism: Hippopotamus amphibius kiboko
Lineage: Eukaryota; Metazoa; Chordata; Mammalia; Artiodactyla; Hippopotamidae
Exons: 3
Source: RefSeq, a predicted model, not a curated record
CACAGAGCAAGCCUCCAGGACCUAGUUCAAGUCCUGCCUUCUCAGGGGAACCCUCCGUGAUGGCUUGGCCCUCAACCUAGCUCAACUUCUUGGUCCUGUGAGGGCUCAGGAGACCCAGUUCUCUGAAGGAGACACUCCUGCCAGCAGUGACAACCCAGCAUGACAAAGACCAGGACACGAAGACCACAGGGCACAGAGGGAGACCAGGGGCAGCACUGGGCCCAGCCUGGCAGCCAGGAAGAAGAGCCUGUGAAGUCCAGCUUUGUGACAGCCUGUCUCCAUCAAACAUAUGAAGAACUGAGAAAACAUUGAACUUGGAGCCACAAGAACCACUGCAUUGUGAACCACUUACUGCAUAUCCACAUCAUGACAGCACUUAACAUGCUUGUAUAUAAUCUAAGCUUCAUAACAACCCUGCAAAUAGGGAGCUGCACCCUAAUUUUACACCUGGGGACAGACACACUAUAGGAUGUAACAGAAUUGAAAACCAAGUUCUGUUUCCCAGCUUUGCCACCUACAAAUCGUGUAAAACUUGGGCCAUCUUAACUUCUCUGCUCUUCAGUUUUCCUUAUCUGUAAAAUGGGAAGAAUAAUACCUUCAUCACAGGGAUUUUGUGAG